This 292-nucleotide small nuclear RNA is filed under the name Monodelphis domestica (gray short-tailed opossum). RNAcentral's name for it is "7SK RNA". Lineage: Eukaryota; Metazoa; Chordata; Mammalia; Didelphimorphia; Didelphidae. The record is from Rfam by way of RNAcentral.
UAAAGAUGGAAAAAUUUGGGUGUGACAAUCAUUUAGUUCCAGUCUCUUUCUUCAGAGUUGAUUUGGUGAAUCUUGCUGGAUAAGCAGUUACUCCCUCCCUCUCUACUAUUUAAUGUGUAUUCUUCCUGAAACUUUUCUCUCAGUUGAAGAUGUCCUUUCUUGGUAGAGGAGGUCCAUUUUUCAGUCAUUGGUUUCUGGGUAACUAUGUUUUCUUGCUAGCACUUCCCAAAUAAGAUCUUGAUUUUUAUUUGCAGGUGAAAAAAUAAUACUAUGUUUCCAUUCCUAUGAGUGG